UACGUAGGUGGCAAGCGUUAUCCGGAAUUAUUGGGCGUAAAGCGCGCGCAGGCGGUUUCUUAAGUCUGAUGUGAAAGCCCACGGCUCAACCGUGGAGGGUCAUUGGAAACUGGGAGACUUGGGUGCAGAAGAGGAAAGUGGAAUUCCAUGUGUAGCGGUGAAAUGCGUAGAGAUAUGGAGGAACACCAGUGGCGAAGGCGACUUUCUGGUCUGUUCUUGACGCUGAGGCGCGAAAGCUAGGGGAGCAAACGGG
RNAcentral lists this ribosomal RNA (253 nucleotides) under uncultured bacterium. RNAcentral describes it as "partial 16S ribosomal RNA". It matches the Rfam family "Bacterial small subunit ribosomal RNA", at positions 524 to 776 of the family's 1533-position model. The record is from RNAcentral.